RNAcentral lists this ribosomal RNA (393 nucleotides) under uncultured bacterium. Its description in RNAcentral is "partial 16S ribosomal RNA". It matches the Rfam family "Bacterial small subunit ribosomal RNA", at positions 523 to 918 of the family's 1533-position model. The record is from RNAcentral.
AUACGGAAGGUCCGGGCGUUAUCCGGAUUUAUUGGGUUUAAAGGGAGCGCAGGCGGAGAUGUAAGCGUGACGUCAAAUUUCGGGGCUCUACCCCGUCUCGCGUCGCGAACUGCGUCCCUUGGUUGCGGGAAGGGGAGGCGGAACUCGUGGUGUAGCGGUGAAAUGCAUAGAUAUCACGAAGAACUCCGAUCGCGAAGGCAGCCUUCCGGCCCGUCAACGACGCUCAUGCUCGAAGGUGCGGGUAUCAAACAGGAUUAGAUACCCUGGUAGUCCGCACAGUAAACGAUGGACACCCGCGGUUUGGCCUGUAUGGCUGAGCCGCCAAGCGAAAGCGUUAAGUGUCCCACCUGGGGAGUACGCCGGCAACGGUGAAACUCAAAUGAAUUGACGGGG